RNAcentral lists this ribosomal RNA (497 nucleotides) under uncultured bacterium. RNAcentral describes it as "partial 16S ribosomal RNA". It matches the Rfam family "Bacterial small subunit ribosomal RNA", at positions 28 to 507 of the family's 1533-position model. The record is from RNAcentral.
GAUGAACGCUGGCGGCGUGCCUAAUACAUGCAAGUCGAGCGAACGGACGAGAAGCUUGCUUCUCUGAUGUUAGCGGCGGACGGGUGAGUAACACGUGGAUAACCUACCUAUAAGACUGGGAUAACUUCGGGAAACCGGAGCUAAUACCGUAUAAUAUUUUGAACCGCAUGGUUCAAAAGUAAAAGACGGUCUUGCUGUCACUUAUAGAUGGAUCCGCGCUGCAUUAGCUAGUUGGUAAGGUAACGGCUUACCAAGGCAACGAUGCAUAGCCGACCUGAGAGGGUGAUCGGCCACACUGGAACUGAGACACGGUCCAGACUCCUACGGGAGGCAGCAGUAGGGAAUCUUCCGCAAUGGGCGAAAGCCUGACGGAGCAACGCCGCGUGAGUGAUGAAGGUCUUCGGAUCGUAAAACUCUGUUAUUAGGGAAGAACAUAUGUGUAAGUAACUGUGCACAUCUUGACGGUACCUAAUCAGAAAGCCACGGCUAACUACGUG